Molecule: ribosomal RNA, 375 nt
Filed under: uncultured bacterium
Lineage: Bacteria
Description: bacterial SSU rRNA
Rfam family: Bacterial small subunit ribosomal RNA
Source: RNAcentral
UGGGGAUAACGCAGCGAAAGCUGUGCUAAUACCGCAUACGAUCUGCGGAUGAAAGCGGGGACCUUCGGGCCUCGCGCGAUUGGAGCGGCCGAUGUCAGAUUAGGUAGUUGGUGGGGUAAAGGCCUACCAAGCCGACGAUCUGUAGCUGGUCUGAGAGGACGACCAGCCACACUGGGACUGAGACACGGCCCAGACUCCUACGGGAGGCAGCAGGUGGGAAUUUUGGACAAUGGGCGCAAGCCUGAUCCAGCAAUGCCGCGUGCAGGAAGAAGGCCUUCGGGUUAGUAAACUGUCUUUUGUACGGAACGAAAAGGCUCUGGUUAAUACCUGGGGCUCAUGACGGUACCGUAAGAAUAAGCACCGGCUAACUACGUG